RNAcentral lists this ribosomal RNA (700 nucleotides) under uncultured bacterium. RNAcentral's name for it is "bacterial SSU rRNA". It matches the Rfam family "Bacterial small subunit ribosomal RNA", at positions 8 to 702 of the family's 1533-position model. The record is from RNAcentral.
AGAGUUUGAUCAUGGCUCAGAGCGAACGUUAGCGGCGGGCCUAACACAUGCAAGUCGAGCGAGAAAGGGCUUCGGCCUGAGUACAGCGGCGGACGGGUGAGGAACACGUAGGUAAUCUGCCCUUUAGUGGAGGACAACGGUCCGAAAGGACCGCUAAUACUGCAUACGUUUUUUGGGACUCCGGUACCAAAAAGGAAAGCCUCGCAAGGGGCGCUGAAGGAGGAGCCUGCGUCGCAUCAGCUAGUUGGUGGGGUAACGGCCUACCAAGGCGAAGACGCGUAGCUGGUCUGAGAGGAUGAUCAGCCACACUGGGACUGAGACACGGCCCAGACUCCUACGGGAGGCAGCAGUGGGGAAUAUUGGACAAUGGGGGCAACCCUGAUCCAGCCACGCCGCGUGAGUGAUGAAGGCCUUCGGGUCGUAAAGCUCUGUGGGGAGGGACGAACGUCCGAGUGAAGAACUCGGGGUGACGGUACCUCCUUAGCAAGCACCGGCUAACUUCGUGCCAGCAGCCGCGGUAAUACGAAGGGUGCAAACGUUGCUCGGAAUCAUUGGGCGUAAAGCGCACGUAGGCGGCCCAGUAAGUCGGAUGUGAAAUCCCUCGGCUCAACCGAGGACGUGCAUCCGAAACUGCUAGGCUUGAGUAUGGAAGAGGGUCGCAGAAUUCCCGGUGUAGAGGUGAAAUUCGUAGAGAUCGGGA